RNAcentral lists this long non-coding RNA (668 nucleotides) under Chinchilla lanigera (long-tailed chinchilla). Its description in RNAcentral is "lncRNA (ENSCLAG00000024421.1)". The record is from RNAcentral. Lineage: Eukaryota; Metazoa; Chordata; Mammalia; Rodentia; Chinchillidae.
AAAAGACUCACUUCACGGAGUGACUCUGACAGCCUGUCAGUGUUGGUAGGACUGUGCGGCCUGCCAGUGAGUUCAGGGAAAACACCUGACCCGUGCUUGCCCAAUUACUGAUAAAUAAGCAGCUUGUGCACUUCCUAUGAGAAAGAGAGAAUGAGAAAGGUUUUCUUAAUGUGAGAGACAUAGGGUAUAUUUCCAUAACCAACUGUAUGGAAAAGUUUUUCUGACAUUCAACACAAGUUCCUAGAUUUGGGAUGUCCAAAAGCUUGAUGUCUGCAUUUGGAAAUGCCACUAUUGUUCUGGUUCUUAGGUGGUGGAUAUUUUCUAAAACUGUAUUGGCUUCUGCAGAUUCUUAACAUAUACUGUCCACUUCUGCCUUACCUUAGGUCUUGCUGGCUAAAGAACAUGCCCUGUAGUACACUCCAGAAGAAUGGGAAGGACAUGGGCACGGUAAACAAUCAUGCAGGGGGCCUUCAAACUUCCAAUAAAAAUUUUUGUGUUUAUGGCACUGUGGAAAUAACAAGUCAGAUGAUGUCUGAUAUCUGGGAACAAUUUGUCAAUUAUGAGCCAGUGGUUGAUGUUUCCUAAAAACCAUAGAACCUCUGGACAGAUUAAUGCACCCUACUCAGUAAGUUCCACAUGAAAUUCAUCUGCUUACACGGGGUGGGAUG